RNA transcript from Anopheles stephensi (Asian malaria mosquito), 1393 nucleotides. RefSeq lists it as uncharacterized. Lineage: Eukaryota; Metazoa; Arthropoda; Insecta; Diptera; Culicidae. The record is from RefSeq and is a predicted model, not a curated record. The transcript has 2 exons.
AUUUCCCUAAGGACAACAGCACAUUGGAACAGAAGACAACGUAAGCUGAGCUGUAUAUAAAGAUGAUGUACAAUUCGCGUCUGUUACUUACGGCUGUAGCAGCAUUCUAAGCAGAAGGUGCUUCAUCUGCGACAGCGAAAAUGGCUGCAGUCCGAAUGCUGUUCAUGGCAUCGUUGCUAGUUAGCGCAUUCAACUUCAACAACGGUACGAAGAGAAAGAAAACGGAACUGUUAUCCGACAUCUGCUCGACCGCUUUCAGCGAGCAGGACAAUAAAACACGCGAGGAAUAUUAUAAUCGCGUCCGGGAUCCCAACAAACACAUCUCAACCCGUCUGGUGCGCUACUUUACGUUUGGUGGCAUUCUGCAGGCAAUUUCGGAGCUUACCGGAAUCCCGCGCGUUGAGCUAGUGGCGGGAGGGUCGAGCCAAUUGCAGGAUAAGACUAGUGGCCUUGGGGGUAUGAAGCACGCGGCACACAUAAUUCGCGUAGGAACCAUUAGUCGUAAACUAAUGGACGCGAAUGAAUCACUGAACAGAGCGUUGGAGAACUAUAUUGGACACACGCAAAACGUGCUUCGUGACGUUAACGUGUGGUCCGGCAUUGGAGGAGCAUUAGAUCGGUAUCAAUCGAGUAAUCUAACCGUUUUGGCGAAAGUUAACUUUAACGGAACGUUGUGCGAUAAUUGGGAUAGAAUAGUUGCUGUAGCAACACCUUUUCACCAAAUCAUUACUCAGUACGUACUGAAGAAAACGAGUGAAGAUAAAGGCGAGGAAAAAAAGCUUGAAGACGACAAGGUGACAGGGUUUUUGAUAGGACCGGCAAUGUUGUUUGAACAUGGAACGAUGGGAUACCGUAUGGCCAUGAAUGGAACGUUCGAAGCGCAUUAUAAAAGGAGGCAGCAAACUAAAAAGAGACUGCGCGAUCAAUAGUUGCAAGCUAGAAGAAACAGUUCGCAACUCGGUCUGGUUCGCUACUUUACGUUCGGUGGCAUUCUGGAAGCAAUCUCGGAAAAAACCGGGAAUCUCUCGUAGCAAGCUAGUGACAGCCAGGAGGAGCCAGCCAGGUUGAAGAUCGGAGUAGUGGCCUCGAGAACAGUAUCCACGCAGUAGCGCGCAUCAUUCGUGUUGGUGCCAUCGAUUACCGUCUCGAAACAGUGGGUGAGCCUCUGUUGCGAACGCGACAAAAUCAAAUUGAACUUUAAAUAACUAAAUAUCUUUCGUUUAGUAUAAAUUCUCACCGGAAAAUAUUAUUUUAGGAAAACCACCUUAAAUCACAGAGAGGCCUCAUACCGUGAGUAAGACGACAAUAUGGUAACGUGUCAGGGUAUGUCAUAAAAUAUCUCGAAAAAGGGACAAUAUCCAGACAUAUGGAAUAAACCUAUGCACUUGAGCUA